CAAAGGAGCAAUCCGCUGAAAGAUGGGCUCGCGUCCGAUUAGGUAGUUGGCGGGGCAACGGCCCACCAAGCCGACGAUCGGUAGCCGGACUGAGAGGUUGAACGGCCACAUUGGGACUGAGACACGGCCCAGACUCCUACGGGAGGCAGCAGUGAGGGAUAUUGGUCAAUGGGGGAAACCCUGAACCAGCAACGCCGCGUGAGGGAAGACGGUUUUCGGAUUGUAAACCUCUGUCCUCUGUGAAGAUGACGACGGUAGCAGAGGAGGAAGCUCCGGCUAACUACGUGCCAGCAGCCGCGGUAAUACGUAGGGAGCAAGCGUUGUCCGGAUUUACUGGGUGUAAAGGGUGCGUAGGCGGCUUUGCAAGUCAGAAGUGAAAUCCAUGGGCUUAACCCAUGAACUGCUUUUGAAACUGCAGAGCUUGAGUGGAGUAGAGGUAGGCGGAAUUCCCGGUGUAGCGGUGAAAUGCGUAGAGAUCGGGAGGAACACCAGUGGCGAAGGCGGCCUGCUGGGCUCUAACUGACGCUGAGGCACGAAAGCGUGGGUAGCAAACAGGAUUAGAUACCCUGGUAGUCCACGCUGUAAACGAUGAUUACUAGGUGUGGGUGGACUGACCCCAUCC
RNAcentral lists this ribosomal RNA (622 nucleotides) under uncultured bacterium. Its description in RNAcentral is "bacterial SSU rRNA". It matches the Rfam family "Bacterial small subunit ribosomal RNA", at positions 202 to 842 of the family's 1533-position model. The record is from RNAcentral.